GCUUCAUCCUCAUGAUAUCCUUGAAGAUAACUAUUUUUUAUCUUCAAUGUAAAGAUGAGGAAUCUGAAACUUAGAGAUAUGAAAUAUCUUGUCACAGGUCACAUACCUGGUAAGUGGAAGAGCCAGGAUGAUGGUGAUAAAGAUGAUGAUAAUGGUGGUGAUGCACGGUAAAGCCUUAGCAGGCAGAUGUCAGGACCACUAAGAGACUCUACCUUAAAUCUGGCAAAUUUUUUGUUUCCAGGCCUUGAAAAUACACUUCUUACAAGUUUCAUGCAAAUUACUCCCAUGAUCUGACACAUAGCCAGAAAAACAGCCUCAGCAAAAACUUUCUCCUUCCUACCUCCAGGAAGUCCUUGGUUUUUGCUGGCCACAAUCUUAGAGAAACUUCCAGCCAAACAGGCAAAUCUGGCCUCACACCAACAUGACAAAUAUGGUUUCUGUCCAAUGGUGCUGAUGCCACAGAUCCUCUUUGGGGGAUGUGCCUGCCUCACUGUCUCAGAUGCAAAUUCAAGGUUGGAGAGACAAAUGGAGGAACGAGCACAAAACUUCCACCCUACCACUUUCUUGUUAUCAGCCUAUGCAACAUAAUUUCCCCCAAAGAAAGGCGAUAAAAUUUCAAACACCUCCUCUUGACUUCUUCUCCUAGAAAAACUCUCUCACUUCAUUCUUGUCUCUGCCUUCAAAAGAUAGAUCUGCUUUGCCUGGAAGUGCCUUGUGGCUUCACUGCCCAGGCCCUCUCUCCCUCUGCUUCCGGAGUGAGCACAUCGGAAGGCAGUGGAGAGGGGGCUGAGCAUAACAGCUAAGAAUGCAGGCUUCAGACUCGAGCUGCCUGGGAUCAAACCCAGCUCAAACACAUGUUUGUAUGAAAACUUUGGCACUUAGCCUUUUCUCUGCCUUGACUGCUCCAUCUGUAAGAUGGGGAUGAUAAUAAUCUUCUGCUUUAUAGGGCUGAAGAUUAAGUGAGGUAAUGUAUAUAAAACAUCCAGCAGCUGGUCAAUAGGCAUUAGCCACUGUUAGCCACUAGUCGGCUUUAAUUCCCUGAGAGCAGGGACUCCAUUUUUUUUUUUUUUUUUUAUCACAUUGUACCUCUAGUACCUACAAUGGUGCCUGGCACAUAGUAAGCACUUCCAAAAUAUCUGAUCAAUGUUAACUGAAUGUGUGGAAGGAACUUGAGUGCCAAGAGUCCCUGCUGGGAUCCUCCUUUAAGAACAACCCUUCCCUGCCCAAAGUCUGUGUUACAAGUAGAACCCUGAUGUUGGUCAUAAUGUGCCCCCUGGAGCCAGGUGGGUAAAGGUUGAUGAUCAGAGUAAUGUGUGCACCAUCAGUGGCUGGGGGAAAAGAAGGUUUCACGUAACACAAGGGAGAGAAGUUUUAUCUGGGCUCCUUCAGUAUUAUUUUGACUUUCAUUUAUUCUACGUGACUUCUCUGAUGAUGGACAUGAAGAGAUAUUGCCGUGUUGGACUCCCUGACCCCUGUGGUAGAGGUUACACUUGCAUAAACCCUUGGGGACAUACUCUGGGGAGUGAGGCUAUUUUGUGGAGUCCCUUGGCAGGGGCCCUAGACAAGAGAUUCUUUCUUGUUCCAAGCUGUGGCAUGUGACUGUGGUUUUGGAGCUGGAAGAGAAGAAUGAGAUGGAAUAUUACAUGGUAAAUUAACUAGUCAUUUUAGCUAUUAAACAUCUGCCCUCCAAUAAGAGUUAUUAGUGUGGCUUCUGCUGGCUUAUGACACUGAAAGUCCAAAACUCCAGCAUAAUUGAGACUUCAAUGCUGUAAGAUGAUUAGAUUUGCCCAGACAUUUGGAUAUUAUUCCAUUGGUGAUAUGUAAUUAUUUUUAUCUCAGAUUUCUAGGAUAUUGUCCAGGUUUUGUGCUUUAUCUAUCUCUUGGCUGUUAUUACUUUUGCCUAUACUUGGAAGCUUUUAUCAAUUACAGGUGAGCCAAUUAAAGCAGAAACCCUUGGUGUAAGAGCAUAAAACACCAUCACACAGUAUUUGACCUCUGAAAGGCUCUGGGGGAGAGGAAGGUGAAUUAAUCGACACAGACUCACGGCUGGAGUCUGCUAAAGAGCAUGUCAGCAAACCCGCUAAUGCUGCAGCAAAUGAGCUGAUCUACCCAGAUACACUCACUCGUCUGGUCCUCCCCAAAUUCAUCCUGACAAUCUGUUUCUGCAGCUAGUGAUGGAGAUGCAAAUGCUGGCUACUGGGAUUUUCCAGAUUGCUUUCAAUAUUCUAAAUGCCAAACCAUCAGAGUUUUAAAAUUUACUUUUGAUUUGCCAAAUACCACAGCAUCAGGACAUGUAUUCUAGGAUAGAUGUAUGCCAGUUAUAAGACAUUUUUAUGUGCUUUUUUCUUUUCUUUUCUUUUUUCAAGGAAGGUUAGCCCUGAGCUAACAUCUGCUGCCAAUCCUCCUCUUUUUGCUGAGGAAGACUGGCCCUGACCUAACACCCCACCUUCCUCUACUUUACAUGUGGGACUCCUGCCACAGCAUGGCUUGACAAGCGGCAUGUAGGUCCGCACCCAGGAUCCGAACCGGCAAACCCCUGGCUGCUGAAGCGGAAUGUGCGGACUUAACCGCUGUGCCACCAGGCCGGCCCCUUUGUGUGUGCUUUUUUGCCUUCUUGUUUUCUGUGGGUUUCUUGGUGGUAUUCUUUGACAGUUCAGUCCAAGAGGGACAAAGUGCCCUAGAGGAGAAACGGACACAGUCUUAACCAUGGCAUCACCUACAGGCUAUAAACCCCGAGAGUGGACAGCAGUAAUGUAAGUGGUUCCACAGCCUUGCCUUUGGAUAAUCGGGCCUGGCUUUCCAGUUACUUCUUGAACACUUGCAGAUAUGUGAGUGAUGGGUUAUGUUAGGUGGGGGCAACUUUGGAGCCAUCUGCCUAAGAAGAAGAGUGUAAACUCUAGCAAGGCAUAUUUUGUUUCACUCAAAUAAGUAACUAUGCAUUGAUAAUGUAGAGUGUAAAUGUUUCCACAGGAAAAAAUACAGGGGAGGGACACUGGAUAAGUUGGGUUUCGAUUUCACUGCAUAGGACCCAGACUCCAAAAUAACAGUGCCUUACACAGGAGGGAAGUUUGUUUCUCUCUUACAGAAACAAAAGCAGGAGGUAGGCAGGGCAGAAUGUAUAGUAACUCUAUGAAGUCAUUAGGAAACGAACCUCAUCUCUUUCCGGUUCAAGGCUCUACCAUCCCCGGGUUGUGGCCUGUGUCUUUAUGGUCCAACUUGGUGGCUAGAGAACCAGCCAUCAUAUUCAAAUGGAGGAAGAAGAAAGGCAUGUCCCCUCCCUAUAAGAUCACAUCCCAGAAGUUGCAAACCUUUCCAUUUUCAUAUCAUUGGCCAGAGCUUAGCCAAAUGGCCACACCUACCUACAAAAGAUGCUGGGAAAUUUUGUCUUUAUCCCAAGCACCAUAUGCUCAGCUUAAAAAUUAGAAGUUGUGUUACAAAGAAAGAAAGGAGAAAGUGGAUAUUGAGCAGUCUGUGCUAUAAACACUGAUCCCAGCCAUGGACACCAGCAAAGCCCUCCUAAAGGAGGGGAACGUCUGAGCACAGAAUGAAAUGUGAUUAGGGACAUGUCCAGAUGAAAGGGACGUAGGAGAGGAGGAAGGGGAGGGGGCAGCUCAAGUGAGGACAUAACGGAGAGGAUGCUUGACUUGUUGGAGGAACUGAAAGAUGCUCCUUCUGGCUGGAUUAUAGAGUAGAGGCAGGAGAAGUCACUCCCUAUACUAGGCUCAGGCCAGUCCUCACUCUCCAUCGAUGUUCUCAGGGUUCUGGCUCUCUCGUUCGUCUCCUGCUUCAGCUCAUUCUCCAAGUUUAAAGUGAGUGGCAAAUCCCUCCACGGCAGGAAGGGGAAGAGUAGAUAGAACACCAUAUCUAUGUUAAGGAGACCCACUCCUUUUUCCUCAAAAUAGGAGACUUGAAUUUCCUCUUCAACCAAAAUGAAAAACAAAGCAUCUUCAGUGGACUCUUUGGAGAGGCUCCAGAGUGGGUGGGCGGUGGAAAGAGAGCAUCACCAAGUGGCUCUCUUCUGUCUCUCCACACCUGGGAGAUAACUUCUUUCCAUUACUAUGGCAACCGUUAUGGAUAGGGAUCUGUGAACUGGGAGACCAGAGGUCA
Molecule: long non-coding RNA, 4107 nt
Organism: Equus caballus (horse)
Lineage: Eukaryota; Metazoa; Chordata; Mammalia; Perissodactyla; Equidae
Source: Ensembl